GGCUUAACACAUGCAAGUCGAACGAUAAGCUAGACUUCGGUUUAGUGGACAGUGGCAGACGGGUGAGUAACGCGUGGGAAUCUACCUUUGAGUGGGGAAUAACAAUUAGAAAUGAUUGCUAAUACCGCAUACACCCUCCGGGGGAAGGGCUUCGGCCGCUCUUAGAUGAGCCCGCGUACGAUUAGUUUGUUGGUGAGGUAAAGGCUCACCAAGACUACGAUCGUUAGCUGGUUUGAGAGGAUGAUCAGCCACACUGGGACUGAGACACGGCCCAGACUCCUACGGGAGGCAGCAGUGGGGAAUAUUGGACAAUGGGCGAAAGCCUGAUCCAGCCAUGCCGCGUGAGUGAAGAAGGCCUUAGGGUUGUAAAACUCUUUCGACAGGGAAGAUAAUGACGGUACCUGUAUAAGAAGCUCCGGCUAACUCCGUGCCAGCAGCCGCGGUAAUACGGAGGGGGCAAGCGUUGCUCGGAAUUACUGGGCGUAAAGCGAGCGUAGGCGGUUAAUCAAGUUGGUGGUGAAAGCCCGGAGCUCAACUCCGGAACUGCCAUCAAAACUGAUUUACUUGAGAUUGGUAGAGGAAAAUGGAAUUCCUAG
RNAcentral lists this ribosomal RNA (596 nucleotides) under uncultured Alphaproteobacteria bacterium. RNAcentral describes it as "bacterial SSU rRNA". It matches the Rfam family "Bacterial small subunit ribosomal RNA", at positions 45 to 673 of the family's 1533-position model. Lineage: Bacteria; Pseudomonadati; Pseudomonadota; Alphaproteobacteria. The record is from RNAcentral.